This 172-nucleotide unclassified non-coding RNA is filed under the name uncultured Ascomycota. Its description in RNAcentral is "sequence contains ITS1". Lineage: Eukaryota; Fungi; Ascomycota. The record is from RNAcentral.
AAGGGAACGCUGGUUCACCCAGCAUCCUCCAACCCAAUGUGUACCCGCCUUGUUGCCUCGGCGUGCCUGCGCCGUCAGUGGCGCUGCCGGCUCCGGCUGGAUAGCGCACGCCAGAGGAAUCUUAAACUCCAGCUUUAACGAGUGACGUCUGAGCUUCAAUCAAAUAACAUUA